CCCUUAGAUGUUCUGGGCCGCACGCGCGCUACACUGAACAGUUCAACAAGUCUUAACCUUGGCCGAUAGGUCUGGGUAAUCUUUGAACGCUGUUCGUGAUUGGGAUAGACCUUUGCAAUUAUGGGUCUUCAACGAGGAAUUCCUAGUAAACGCAAGUCAUCAGCUUGCAUUGAUUACGUCCCUGCCCUUUGUACACACCGCCCGUCGCACCUACCGAUUGAACGGUCCGGUGAAAUCUCGGGACGGCGGCUUGGUCGCUUGCGUCCGACUGCUGAAACUUGAUUAAACCAUAUCAUUUAGAGGAAGGUGAAGUCGUAACA
This 320-nucleotide ribosomal RNA is filed under the name uncultured eukaryote. RNAcentral describes it as "partial 18S ribosomal RNA". It matches the Rfam family "Eukaryotic small subunit ribosomal RNA", at positions 1470 to 1796 of the family's 1831-position model. The record is from RNAcentral.